RNAcentral lists this long non-coding RNA (357 nucleotides) under Ananas comosus (pineapple). RNAcentral describes it as "long non-coding RNA (ACOM_LNC010974)". The record is from RNAcentral. Lineage: Eukaryota; Viridiplantae; Streptophyta; Magnoliopsida; Poales; Bromeliaceae.
CCUGGAUCUGCUCGACCUGGGCCGGGCUCAGCUGGUUGAGCCCCACCGGGCCCACGUACGCCCCCGCUCCGUACUCAAAAAUCGGAUUUUGAUGCGAGAACGGAGACGACGACGACGACGAAGAGGGAGAUGGGGAGUAGAAGAGGGGCGAGCUCACCGGGGGGAAAGGGUAGGGGGAGGAGAGAGGAGGCGGAGGAGAGGGGGUGGAGGAGGUGAGCUCACCAUAGGUGAGAGGAGAAGGAGAGGGAGAAGGUGAAGGUGAGUAAGGAGAGGAGGAGGAGGAGGAGGAGGAGAUAGUGGAAGCGCCAUUAAUAAAAGGCUCGAGCGCUUUCAUGAGCUCCUCACUGAAAGGGUCUG